RNAcentral lists this long non-coding RNA (238 nucleotides) under Sorghum bicolor (sorghum). Its description in RNAcentral is "long non-coding RNA (SBIC_LNC014843)". Lineage: Eukaryota; Viridiplantae; Streptophyta; Magnoliopsida; Poales; Poaceae. The record is from RNAcentral.
CACGCGCGCCUCCAGCGCGGACUUGGUCACAUUGCUGGGCGGCCACGCCUCGACGCCGGCCAUGGCUUCGGAAGAAAGAGGAGAGUCUGCGCGGUGGAGAUGGAAGAGAUGGCCGAAGAAAGAGUGGGAGGCAGGGGCUUUGUGGAGGGGCGAGCCCCCAACGGCCGCUUUUAUAGGAGGGGCGAGCCACGACCACGCCCCUGCGAGGAAGGCCAAGCGAGAGAGAGAGAGAGAGAGC